UUCUGUUCACGCCAAAUUCAGGAAAUUACACGACUCAAUGAUCUUGGAAAUGAGUUGUUUUGAAUCUUCUCUAUAUUAAAAAGCGAGAAAAUGAUCUAAUAAUACUACUUAAAACUAUAUAUUACAAAACAUAAGGAUAUUUUUCUUUAUUUACAAAAUAUAACGGAUUUGAAAAAAUAAAAGCCCACCCUUCCAUUCUCUUUUUCUCAGCCACCCACCUUUCCCUUCCCCUUAGAUGCAGCCCCUACCCUUCCCUUAGGGUUUUCUCCCUAGAAUAAUAUCCUAUACUGUUUUGUAAUCUCGUUCGAAUAUCCACACCACAUACAGACCCACCAUAGCAGAUCCCCAGAGAAGAAGAGACACACCACAAGUGUUUCAAUGGGUGCUUACACUUAUGUGUAAUCUCGUUCGAAUAUAACUUCAAAAGAAAAUAAUGGCCAGAGAAGAUGAACGGAAAAUAUAUAUAUUUCAUGCGAAAAUGUGUCAUCUCAAACUUCUAACUUCAGGCUGAUUUGCACAAAUAACCACUUUUGCGACGAUGAUGAUGACUGCAACGAUGAUGACGAGCACUUUACUGUUUUACCUCAUUGUAAUUUCCUGUUUUACCUCAUGUAUAACAAAAGAAAAUCUAUAUUUUCUGAUUUUGUUAGAAAAUAAAGAGAUUUGUAUUAGUAUUGUAUGAAAGUUGUAUACAAUGUUAUUGUAGUUGUAUUGAAUUUCAACCGAAUUUCGAAGCGAGAUUAGAAAUUGCAUUAAAUUAAUAUGAAUAUUGUAUAAAAGUUGUACACAAUG
Long non-coding RNA from Lycium barbarum (goji berry), 792 nucleotides. RefSeq lists it as uncharacterized. Lineage: Eukaryota; Viridiplantae; Streptophyta; Magnoliopsida; Solanales; Solanaceae. The transcript is spliced from 2 exons. The record is from RefSeq and is a predicted model, not a curated record.